AUUGAACGCUGGCGGCAUGCCUUACGCAUGCAAGUCGAACGGCAGCACGGGUGCUUGCACCUGGUGGCGAGUGGCGAACGGGUGAGUAAUACAUCGGAACAUGUCCUGUAGUGGGGGAUAGCCCGGCGAAAGCCGGAUUAAUACCGCAUACGAUCUACGGAUGAAAGCGGGGGACCUUCGGGCCUCGCGCUAUAGGGUUGGCCGAUGGCUGAUUAGCUAGUUGGUGGGGUAAAGGCCUACCAAGGCGACGAUCAGUAGCUGGUCUGAGAGGACGACCAGCCACACUGGGACUGAGACACGGCCCAGACUCCUACGGGAGGCAGCAGUGGGGAAUUUUGGACAAUGGGCGAAAGCCUGAUCCAGCAAUGCCGCGUGUGUGAAGAAGGCCUUCGGGUUGUAAAGCACUUUUGUCCGGAAAGAAAUCCUUGGCCCUAAUACGGUCGGGGGAUGACGGUACCGGAAGAAUAAGCACCGGCUAACUACGUG
This 486-nucleotide ribosomal RNA is filed under the name uncultured bacterium. RNAcentral's name for it is "partial 16S ribosomal RNA". It matches the Rfam family "Bacterial small subunit ribosomal RNA", at positions 30 to 507 of the family's 1533-position model. The record is from RNAcentral.